This 243-nucleotide ribosomal RNA is filed under the name uncultured bacterium. Its description in RNAcentral is "partial 16S ribosomal RNA". It matches the Rfam family "Bacterial small subunit ribosomal RNA", at positions 531 to 773 of the family's 1533-position model. The record is from RNAcentral.
GAUGCAAGCGUUGUCCGGAUUUAUUGGGCGUAAAGAGAACGUAGGCGGCCGGUCGCAUCGGCGGUGAAAGCCCCCCGCUCAACGGGGGAGGGUCCGUCGAGAUGGAUCGGCUGGAGGCAGGGAGAGGGCGGUGGAAUUCCGGGUGUAGUGGUGAAAUGCGUAGAGAUCCGGAGGAACACCAGUGGCGAAGGCGGCCGCCUGGACCUGACCUGACGCUGAGGCGCGAAGGCGUGGGGAGCGAAC